CCUACGGGGUGCAGCAGUGAGGAAUAUUGGUCAAUGGACGCAAGUCUGAACCAGCCAUGCCGCGUGCAGGAAGACGGCUCUAUGAGUUGUAACCUGCUUUUGUACGAGGGUAAACGCAGAUACGCGUAUCUGUCUGAAAGUAUCGUACGAAUAAGGAUCGGCUAAAUCCGUGCCAGCAGCCGCGGCAAUACGGAGGAUUCAAGCGUUAUCCGGAUUUAAUGGGGUUAAAGGGUGCGUAGGCGGUCGGAUAAGUUAGAGGUGAAAUCCCGAGGCUCAACUUCGGAAUUGCCUCUGAUACUGUUCGGCUAGAGAGUAGUUGCGGUAGGCGGAAUGUAUGGUGUAGCAGUGAAAUGCUUAGAGAUCAUACAGAACACCGAUUGCGAAGGCAGCUUACCAAGCUACUUCUGACGUUGAGGCACGAAAGCGUGGGGAGCAAACAGGAUUAGAUACCCUGGUAGUC
Molecule: ribosomal RNA, 460 nt
Filed under: uncultured bacterium
Lineage: Bacteria
Description: partial 16S ribosomal RNA
Rfam family: Bacterial small subunit ribosomal RNA
Source: RNAcentral